AGCACAAGAAAGGCUGCUAAAAUGAUAUUUUAUUCUCUUACUUGUUCUCAGUUAGACGAAAACAAGAAAUCAAGAAAGUGUCAAGAAAGUGUACUACAAUGAAGAUUGUUCCUAAGAUCAUCAUUUAAUGUGAUCUUGUCUUAUAUUUUUCCCUUCUUUCAUGGAUGGUGUUGUUGAAAAAGGAGAAGGCUCCCAUAUUUCUG
This 203-nucleotide unclassified non-coding RNA is filed under the name Hevea brasiliensis (rubber tree). The record is from RNAcentral. Lineage: Eukaryota; Viridiplantae; Streptophyta; Magnoliopsida; Malpighiales; Euphorbiaceae.